Molecule: ribosomal RNA, 495 nt
Filed under: uncultured bacterium
Lineage: Bacteria
Description: partial 16S ribosomal RNA
Rfam family: Bacterial small subunit ribosomal RNA
Source: RNAcentral
GACGAACGCUGGCGGCGUGCCUAAUACAUGCAAGUAGAACGCUGAAGGAGGAGCUUGCCUCUCUGGAUGAGUCGCGAACGGGUGAGUAACGCGUAGGUAACCUGCCUGGUAGCGGGGGAUAACUAUUGGAAACGAUAGCUAAUACCGCAUAAUAGUAGAUGUUGCAUGACAUUUGCUUCAAAGGUGCAAUUGCGUCACUACCAGAUGGACCUGCGUUGUAUUAGCUAGUUGGUGAGGUAACGGCUCACCAAGGCAACGAUACAUAGCCGACCUGAGAGGGUGGUCGGGCAGGCUGGGACUGAGACACGGCCCAGACUCCUACGGGAGGCAGCAGGAGGGAAUCUUCGGCGAAGGAGGGAAGUCUGACCGAGCAACGCCGCGUGAGUGAAGAAGGAUUUCGGAUCGUAAAACGCUGUUGUAAGAGGAGAACGAGUGUGAUAGUUGAAAGUUCACACUGUGACGGUACCUGACCAGAAAGCGACGGCUAACUACGUG